GUAUCCGAUCCAUAAAUAGCGCAUAUCACUUCGGCAGUUAUCGGACGAUGUCGGUAUUUUCCGGAAUUUUCAUUCAGGAACUUAGUUUUAUUUUAUUUUGUACAUUUUUGAAUAUCAUUUAAUAAAACCAUUAAUAAAAAGACAAAUACAUAAAGAAUUUUUACCAAUAGUUUUCUAUUAUCAAAAAAUUACGGAAUUCUCGUCUACUCUCUUACAACGAGAUGCAAUGGCGGCGCCCAUGAAAAAACAUUGCGAAUGCCGAUUAAAAAAACAAAAACAAUGAUAAACGUUACACAUUAGAAUUAACAGUCUAUCGUGUGAUCAUAUGGUACGAUGGGCGCCAGAAAAUUAUCAUUUAUUGUGCUAACAAGACCUGUCGGCUCUGAAUAUGCUGUGAAUAGCCCAAAACAUCCGGUUUGACGUCAUUUCGACAUGUACAUUGAUCAGAUGAUAUAGAAAAAGUAGGCAUCGAAAACAACGAUUGUCCACGAAACGCUUGAUUUAGCAAUGGUCUGUGUUGAUGCUAUUUUCUUUGAAAGCAAAUUGUCAGUAAUCUGCAGCCAUUCAGCUACUGUACCAGAAACUUGAAGAAAGGCGUAAAAAGUGAGCUGCCAUUACCAAAGUACCUCAGAUAUGUAGCAGGAACCAUGACAUUCAGGCAUUUCUGUUCUGUUGAAAUAAUACUUGAGCUGGAACCAUGACGUGAAAGAAGACCUUAGGAAAUAUAUGCAAGUGGAGAUUGAGACAUAAAAUUUGUAAAAUGAAAAGACAUAUGAAGCAAAUAGCAAGUUCUGAAUGCUUCAGACUAACUAUUGGUAGACUUUCGAUGAUUUACUGCAAACAUAGGGCAAAAAGACUCGGAUACAAAUGUAUCAUAACAAUGCUUACAUGCCAAACUUCCAGGGUACCUAUACAGGAGAAUUCAGUUGAAAGACCAGGAGAUUUCAGAAUUUACAUUGUACCUAGUUUAAUAGUAUAAUUAAAAAGAUAGUUCUGAAUUCUUUUUAGCAAAUCUAAUUCAUUUUUAAAUCUACAAGGUAUUGUCAUCAUUUGUUGAUCUUUGUCAGCUUUGGUCUUGGUUAACAUUUUUGCUUAUGUUCGUCUUUUCUUCGAAACUGUAAGAAAUAUAGCUUUGAAACUUGGUUCACCUGUUUAUCAUCAUUAGAUCACAAAGAGUCAUAAUUCCCACUUCUGUCACUUUUUGGCAGAAUUAUGACCCCUUGUGUACCUAGAAAAUUGGAAUUUCUUGGUUAAAUAUUUGGUUAAAUUAAAUGUUUCAUACUUUAAGAGCUAUAGCUUGAAACUUUAUAUACUUGUUUAUCAUCAUUAGUUGACUAAAUAGUUCAUGAACCAUAACUAUUGCUUGUAUUCUGUCAGAAUAAAGGCUUUUUAAAUUUGUAUUUCUUGGUCAAUUUUUUGUUUAGCUCGACUAUUUGAAGAGUAAGUAGAGCUAUCCUACUCAUCACGGCGUUGGCGUCAGUGUCGGCGUCACACCUUGGUUAAUUUUUUCAUACCAUUUCACAUAUUGACAAAACUUUUUGAGGUAAUGCUUUAAAACUUUCAACACUUGUGUACCAUCUCCAUGUCAAGUUUUAGGCAACUUGAAGAAUACUUAACUCCAUCAAGCAUUUUGGCUGAAUUAUGGUCCCUUUUGACUUACAAAUCUUGGUUAAGUUUUUCAUACCAGUUCAUAUUUUGUGCAGACUGUUUGAUAUAUGGCUUUGGAACGUUUAUACCACUUGUUUAUUUUAUCUGUAGGCCUGGCAAGAGUACAUAACUCUGUCAAGUAUUUUGGCUGAUUUAUGGUCUUUUUGGACUUGAAAAUUGGUUCAGUUUUUGUACAGGUCCAUGUUUUGUCGAAACUUAUGACAUGUGGCUUUGAAACCUUGAACACUUGCUUAUCAUCAUAAUUUCCAUCUGUAGGCAAGAGAACAUAACUCUGUCAACUAUUUUGGCUGAAUUUUGGCCUUUUUUGGACUUGGAAAUGGUGAAGUUUUCAUGAAGUCAGUGUUGUGUCAAAAUUGUUUUGACAUGUGGCUUUGAAACUUUGAGCACUUGCUUAUCAUCAUGAUCUCCAUUUGCAGGCAAGAGUACAUAACUCUGUCAACUAUUCUGCCUGAAUUAUGACCCUUUGUGGACUUGAAAAUCAGUUAAAUUUUUCAUACCAGUCUGUAUUUGCCUAACCUGUU
This is a long non-coding RNA of Mercenaria mercenaria, 2189 nucleotides long. RefSeq lists it as uncharacterized. The transcript has 3 exons. The record is from RefSeq and is a predicted model, not a curated record. Lineage: Eukaryota; Metazoa; Mollusca; Bivalvia; Venerida; Veneridae.